AGGCGGCUACUGCGGAGAAGAUGGCAGAGCUCAGAAGAAUGGCUCACAGCCUCCAAAGAUAUGCCCCGUGCCUGCCUGCCACCUCCCUCUCAGCCCACUCCCCUGGCCUCUGUGUUCAUGUAGCAAGCGCCCAGCGGGAGGGGCCUGGCUUCCUGCAGAACCGGACCACACCUGGCUGCACUUCCACCUGCAGUGAGGGUGCAAGUCAAGGUCCUCCACAUUCUGGGCAGAGCAGGAGGGCCCCAUGGCAGUGCUUUCUGUUUCACGAGGCCCCGGGUUUUCUCAGCUCCAGCCCCAGGUGAGAGAAGUCCUGCCAACAGAGCAGCCCCCAGCAGCGUGGCAGCAGCCAGUAGAGGGAUGUGCUCUGAGCUGCUUCACCAGAAAGGACGUGGGAGAGAGGAGCCUUCAAGCAGCCCUUUCCCUUCCUGCCUCCGCCCACUCCUCCCUGCCACACCUGGGGCGGUGGACCUGCACUGCUCCCAGGCCAGGCUUCCUGAACCGAGCGCUGCAAGCUCAAAAGAACUAGCGUCCAGUCGAUCAGGCCGUGUCUUCCUGGUAAGCGGACCAUCUUUACCCCCACUUCCCUCUGCCACCUUGGACUACUGUUGGCAAUGCCACAGUUUUUUAAAGUGGUGGGCGGGCAGGCAGUGUUGAUAACCCACUCCCUGUAGUAAAAUACAGAUAAGCCAAAAAAAAAACAGAAAUUACAAGUAAUCAAUGUUUUGAUUUAUAUCCUUUUCAUACUUUCUUUUACAGAAACAUAACCAUACCAAUUUCUAACCUUUUUUCACUUAAUUCUAGACCAUGCACAUCUUUUCAUGUCAGUGAACAUACAUCCACAUCAUGCUUGUCUUGUUACACGACAGUUUCAUAUUUUAACCAAUCCCUUAUCUCUUGUUCUUAAAUAUUUAGCCAGCUUUCAGCUUUUCACUAAGUAGACAACACUAGGUUAUCAUCUCUGCACAGCUGUCUUAUUCCUAAAUGGGAUCCUGAGCAAGGGCUAGGUUCUUUUUUAGAUUUCGGAAAACACGUUCCCGAAGCACCCCCAUUGCAGGUGGACACACCUGCUUCCAGAAGCCCUGGACGCAGUGAUGCCACGUCAGGAACUCGUGCUUGCCCAUCUGUCAGCUCUACACCUACAGUGGAGACCCUGCCAGUCGGCCUCUCCUCCAGACUCCAACCCCACUUCUAGCUGUCCACUAACACCUCUACCUGGACAUCCCCCAAGCACCGCAAGGUCCACACAUCCAAAGCCACAUUCCUCUCCUGACAGGUCCCCAGUGUGGCCACCUCCCCCAGGCCUCGCCAUCACUUCCCUCCCAGCCACCUUCAUUGCCACCACCCAGCAGGGCUGGAACUUCUGCCCCCAUCUCCCUACCCUCCUCAGUCUGCCUGACUCACAGGGACAGGGACAAAGCCAGCUCCCCAGUCUUGGUGCCCCUCCAGGCAGAAAGGGCCGCCAGCAUGUGAUGGUCAAAUGCCAACUCCUUAACUGAUCCAUCCGGGUUUCCACCCGCAGCCCCCACUGUUUUCCUGCCAAGCCCACUAGAGGAGGUGCUCCCAGGCCACAGCUCUGACAGCGCAACCUGGCGGUAACCCCUCCACCUCACACUCCCCUAUACUUCCUGCCCCACGACCUGAAAUUGGCAUUUGUUCACCACUUUGUCCGCAAGGCUGGCCUAGGGC
Molecule: long non-coding RNA, 1686 nt
Organism: Capra hircus (goat)
Lineage: Eukaryota; Metazoa; Chordata; Mammalia; Artiodactyla; Bovidae
Exons: 3
Source: RefSeq, a predicted model, not a curated record